AGGCAGCAGGCACGCAAAUUACCCACUCCCGGCACGGGGAGGUAGUGACAAAAAAUAACGAUACGGGACUCUUUUGAGGCCCCGUAAUCGGAAUGAGUACACUUUAAAUCCUUUAACAAGGAUCCAUUGGAGGGCAAGUCUGGUGCCAGCAGCCGCGGUAAUUCCAGCUCCAAUAGCGUAUAUUAAAGUUGUUGCGGUUAAAAAGCUCGUAGUUGGUUCUGCGUGCUACGCUGCCGGUUCGCCGCCUGCCGGUGUAACUGGCAUGUCGUGGCAUGUCCUGUCGGUGGCGAAUGGGAGCUCUGUCUAGGUGACGGUCCGAGUCACAAGCUUGGUGCCGUAGGCCGGGGGUCAAACCCAUUCGCCUACUCUAUCCUACCUAGGUGCUCUUAAACGAGUGUCGAGGUAGGCCGACACGUUUACUUUGAACAAAUUAGAGUGCUCAAAGCAGGCUGAAAUCUCUGCCUGAAUAGUGGUGCAUGGAAUAAUAAAACAGGACCUUGGUUCUAUUUUGUUGGUUCUUAGGAACACAAGGUAAUGAUCAAUACGGACAGGCGGGGGCAUUCGUAUUGCGACGUUAGAGGUGAAAUUCUUGGAUCGUCGCAAGACGCACAAGAGCGAAAGCAUUUGCCAAGUAUGUCUUGAUUGAUCAAGAACGAAAGUUAGAGGUUCGAAGGCGAUCAGAUACCGCCCUAGUUCUAACCAUAAACGAUGCCAGCCAGCGAUCCGCCGAUGUUCCUCCGAUGACUCGGCGGGGAGCUUCUUCCCGGGAAACCAAAGCUUUUGGGUUCCGGGGGAAGUAUGGUUGCAAAGCUGAAACUUAAAGGAAUUGACGGAAGGGCACCACCAGGAGUGGAGCCUGCGGCUUAAUUUGACUCAACACGGGAAACCUCACCAGGCCAGGACAUUGGAAGGAUUGACAGAUUGAUAGCUCUUUCUUGAUUCAGUGGGUAGUGGUGCAUGGCCGUUCUUAGUUGGUG
Molecule: ribosomal RNA, 977 nt
Filed under: Rhinomiriella sp. UNSW ENT 00027609
Lineage: Eukaryota; Metazoa; Arthropoda; Insecta; Hemiptera; Miridae
Description: SSU rRNA
Rfam family: Eukaryotic small subunit ribosomal RNA
Source: RNAcentral